ACAAACAUUUCAACGCUAAGCGUAAACCCCUAAUAAUAAUAGGGUUGUUCAUCUCAGUAGUUAGAUUACAAGUUUGCACCAAAUUAAGUUUGGUUUGGAUACAUUUCAAGGUAAUUUUGAAUUCAACGAACAUCAACUAAGGAUUAGUUGAAUAAAAGGUAAUCACAUUAUGCUAUGGAAUAAAUCAUAAGUGAACUAACAUUGUAUAUUAAAGUCAUGCUUUAGG
Molecule: long non-coding RNA, 226 nt
Filed under: Panax ginseng (ginseng)
Lineage: Eukaryota; Viridiplantae; Streptophyta; Magnoliopsida; Apiales; Araliaceae
Description: long non-coding RNA (PGIN_LNC014289)
Source: RNAcentral